Molecule: small nuclear RNA, 312 nt
Filed under: Microcebus murinus (gray mouse lemur)
Lineage: Eukaryota; Metazoa; Chordata; Mammalia; Primates; Cheirogaleidae
Description: 7SK RNA (ENSMICG00000022355.3)
Rfam family: 7SK RNA
About the family: 7SK was discovered as an abundant small nuclear RNA in the mid-70s but a possible function has only recently been suggested. Two independent studies have found that 7SK RNA binds the CDK9/cyclin T complex (known as elongation factor P-TEFb).
Source: Rfam by way of RNAcentral
GGAUGUGAGGGCGAUCUAGCUGCGACAUCUGUCACCCCAUUGAUCACCAGGGUUGAUUUGGCUGAUCUGGCUGGCUAGGCGGGUGUCCCCUUCCUCCCUCACUGGUCCAUGUGCGUCCCUCCCGAAGCUGCGCGCUUGGUCAAAGAGGACUACCUUGCCCGCUAGAGGAGGACUGGUCUUUGGGUUCGGUCAAGGGUAUAUGAGUAGCUGCGCUCCCCUACUAGAACCUCAAAACAAGCUCCCAAAAUCCAUGAAGAGUUAACAAAUACCUACUAUGUAAAAGGCAACAACUAACUACACGUAAUACUAGAU